Molecule: ribosomal RNA, 440 nt
Filed under: uncultured bacterium
Lineage: Bacteria
Description: bacterial SSU rRNA
Rfam family: Bacterial small subunit ribosomal RNA
Source: RNAcentral
AGAGUUUGAUCCUGGCUCAGAAUCAACGCUGGCGGCGCGCUUAACACAUGCAAGUCGCACGAGAAAGGGAGCAAUCCUAAGUAAAGUGGCGCACGGGUGAGUAACACGUGGAUCAUCUACCUUUUAGUGGGGAAUACCUCUGGGAAACCGGAGACAAUACCGCAUAAGCCCGCAAGGGGAAAGCAGCAAUGCGCUGAAAGAGGAGUCCGCGGCCGAUUAGCUAGUUGGCGGGGUAACGGCCCACCAAGGCGAAGAUCGGUAGCCGGCCUGAGAGGGCACACGGCCACACUGGCACUGAAACACGGGCCAGACUCCUACGGGAGGCAGCAGUGGGGAAUCUUGCACAAUGGGCGAAAGCCUGAUGCAGCGACGCCGCGUGAGCGAUGAAGCCCUUCGGGGUGUAAAGCUCUUUUGUGCGGGAAGAUAAUGACGGUACCGCA